This 496-nucleotide ribosomal RNA is filed under the name uncultured bacterium. RNAcentral's name for it is "partial 16S ribosomal RNA". It matches the Rfam family "Bacterial small subunit ribosomal RNA", at positions 28 to 507 of the family's 1533-position model. The record is from RNAcentral.
GAUGAACGCUGGCGGCGUGCCUAAUACAUGCAAGUCGAGCGAACAGACGAGGAGCUUGCUCCUCUGACGCUAGCGGCGGACGGGUGAGUAACACGUGGAUAACCUACCUAUAAGACUGGGAUAACUUCGGGAAACCGGAGCUAAUACCGGAUAAUAUAUUGAACCGCAUGGUUCAAUAGUGAAAGACGGUUUUGCUGUCACUUAUAGAUGGAUCCGCGCCGCAUUAGCUAGUUGGUAAGGUAACGGCUUACCAAGGCAACGAUGCGUAGCCGACCUGAGAGGGUGAUCGGCCACACUGGAACUGAGACACGGUCCAGACUCCUACGGGAGGCAGCAGUAGGGAAUCUUCCGCAAUGGGCGAAAGCUUGACGGAGCAACGCCGCGUGAGUGAUGAAGGUCUUCGGAUCGUAAAACUCUGUAUUAGGGAAGAACAAAUGUGUAAGUAACUAUGCACGUCUUGACGGUACCUAAUCAGAAAGCCACGGCUAACUACGUG